GGCAAUUUGUCCGAGUGGUUUAAGGAGUUUGACUUGAAUUCUAUCAAAUGCGGUUUCCGCGCGUAGGUUCGAGUCCUGCAAUUGUCG
RNAcentral lists this transfer RNA (87 nucleotides) under Yarrowia sp. C11. RNAcentral describes it as "tRNA-Ser". It matches the Rfam family "tRNA". Rfam says of the family: Transfer RNA (tRNA) molecules are approximately 80 nucleotides in length. Their secondary structure includes four short double-helical elements and three loops (D, anti-codon, and T loops). RNAcentral also lists the same sequence under 1 other name. The record is from RNAcentral. Lineage: Eukaryota; Fungi; Ascomycota; Dipodascomycetes; Dipodascales.